RNAcentral lists this ribosomal RNA (168 nucleotides) under uncultured bacterium. Its description in RNAcentral is "partial 16S rRNA". It matches the Rfam family "Bacterial small subunit ribosomal RNA", at positions 355 to 514 of the family's 1533-position model. The record is from RNAcentral.
UAGGGAAUCUUCGGCAAUGGGGGCGAACCCUGACCGAGCAACGCCGCGUGAGUGAAGAAGGUUUUCGGAUCGUAAAGCUCUGUUGUAAGAGAAGAACGUGUGUGAGAGUGGAAAGUUCACACAGUGACGGUAACUUACCAGAAAGGGCGGCUAACUACGUGCCAGCAG